Long non-coding RNA from Homo sapiens (human), 353 nucleotides. Lineage: Eukaryota; Metazoa; Chordata; Mammalia; Primates; Hominidae. The record is from Ensembl.
UUGUGGCAAAUGCUACAGUAAUGACCAGACACAUCACACCCGCCUUCUAGAAGCCCUCCCUCACAAACCGGAUCAACUGCUAUGAUAAAGUGUCCACUACCAUUCCUUGAGGGCUUACAAUGGCUUCUGGUUGGGAGAAAGAUGGGAAGAGGAGGACAUUCAAGAAGAUCAGAGACGUCUGGGGUGUGCAGAAGUAUUUUUCCUUCUUAUUUUCCUGUAUUCAAUAGGUAACACCAUGGUGUGUGGCUUUUCUGGGCAGCCUGCAAAUGUCAUUGCUAGUGACAACAUUUUUCUGCAGGAAAACAUAUUCCAGCUUUUAAUCAUCUUUAGAAUAAACCCAUUUAUAAGCAGUA